This 3388-nucleotide long non-coding RNA is filed under the name Daphnia magna. RNAcentral's name for it is "uncharacterized LOC123476835". Lineage: Eukaryota; Metazoa; Arthropoda; Branchiopoda; Diplostraca; Daphniidae. The record is from RNAcentral.
CUGUGUUCCUCUCAUAGAUGACGUUUUUAAAAAUAGUCCGUCAUCAAAUAGAUUAGUUGAUCGCUAGGUGGCAUAUUUGUUUAUUUAAGACAGGAACAAUAGAUUAAUUGAACGUUAGGUGGCAUGAAAGUCUGCUAUUUAAAGGACAAUUUGGUCGCUCCUGACACGCCAGUACGAUCUGGCACGUUGUGGCAAACCAUUAUAAAUGAAAAUGUCAAUGUUUGGAACAACUAUGUUAUGAUGUACAAAACAAGCCCACAACUAAAUCCAGCUAAACCGUUUAACUAACAACACUCCACGACCGAUAGAUGGCUUCAGGGAGUAAAAAAACGCACUCAAAAUAAAAAACAAACUAGGAUUCUUUUACGUCCAUUAAUUCUACCAUGCACAUGAAACAGUUCUUCAAAAUCGGUCAGUCAACUUGAACACGUCACGUUUGCGUUUUGGAAAAAUAAAAGGAACCCAUCGUUACCGGAUUGCGUAUGGUGCCAUAGGCAAAACGGAAGAAGUUAGACGGAUUUUAGGGCAGAACGGUCCAGCUGCAACAUUGGAAUCUACUCCAGCUGUUGUUGACUCCUUCACGCCACAAAAGCUUUAAAUAAUGGAAAAGUUAAUGGAAGACUAGACGUGAGUAAUGAAAUGUCAACAACGAAUGACUAAUGAGACAACCCCUUUUUUUUUGGCACGCUUUUAGCUGUUCGAAACAUUCGUGAAAUGAAGACAUUAUUAAUAAGGUUAGAGUGGAAUCAACCGUGAAAUUAUUGAUCGUUUAUCUUUGCAUUUAAUUAAAGUUUGUCCGUCGAACUGAACAAAGACGAAACAUUUUCAGAGAUUGCAUCUCGUUCACCAAUGCGUGACUUCUUUUCCGUCUUGAAAAAUGGAUCUGCCCUCGGUUCACCAUUAGAGAAUACCGUUGAGGAAAGAAGACAUUAAUAGGAACCCACCAACUCAAUAUUUGAAUAGCCAUCAACCAAAAUUCCAAUUCGAGAGUUCACAAGGAAGUCACGACAAAUUCAGCAGAAAAAAAAAAAGGAAAACUUUUAAAGUAAAAAGGGACAGAAAUUCUUUGAAUUCGUUCCAUGCAUAUAUUUAAAAAAAAAAAAAGAAACUUUGUCAGGGGAUCUCCGUCUGGUUGGUUUGGGAUAGAUAUCGAUGAAUGAAUUUGGAUAGCUGUCACGUCCGGUCAGCAUAGAAAGCAUUCACGCUGCUGAUCGGAAUGCAAAAGAAAAAAAGAGGACAAGUAUUGGGAAAAAAGAAAACAUCAAAUUACAUGUCGAAAUACGAUGAGAUGGCAAAUUCAAGAAUAUCAUGGGCGGUUUUGUAUGCAUGCGAUAUAUUUACGCGAAAUGUAAUCUAGUUUUGCCGAAGAAUUUGUAAGCAAAAAACAGUGCUGCGUAACGAAUUCCAUUGCGAAAAUGCGCUAUAGAGUUACACAGUGAGCAACGUUGCAAUUGAAACUAAAGAGAAAGUUCAAAAGCCAAAUAAAAAGGUGACUUGUUGCAGUCGAGAUGACUUCAAGUUGAAAAGGCGUCAACCACACCGUAAAACGUUGUUUAGUGUAACAUACCAAUUCGACCUUUCCAUCCGUUACGUAACUGUAGACAAGCUGGUGAUCUUUUCCGCAUGCGCGACAAUUGCUUCGCUUCACUCGUCACACAAACAAAGUGUUACACAGCUCAACGUCAUGAUGGAUAUAAAUCAUAUCAUUUGUCUGCAAUUGUAAAAGUGAUGACGUCUGUUACUGUCAAACGUAAAUUUCAAUUAAAAAGAUAAGAAAAGAAAUGUUUUGAAUUUUCAGGACAUUAUGCAAAAAUCGUGACAUUUAGGAUGAAACAGGAGACACUUUUAUAUAAUCUCAAGUGUGUAACUCAUGGGUCAUGAAGUGGAGAGAGGUCCUCGACACACUGACAGACAGAUCAAAUAGUCACGAUCGAUGUCUGUUGUAAAGGUUUAAACCACCACGGCACUUCCUUCCUCUUCAAAAGAUUAUUUUCCCCUUGUCAAAUCUCAGUAACUACCUGCAUUGGAUGGGGAAAACUCGCGUGACUCUGCUUAGUAAAAAGAAGCGUGAGUUUAUAAUAAUUCCAUGAACUAGAGGGGUAUGAACUUGUAUAAGAUAUUUAUGAAGAGGAUGGCGUCCGGCUUCCGUAGACGGAUGAAAAUCACGUACACACAUGUACUAUUUAGAACGCCCUUUUUUCAUUCAAAGGUUUCCAAUCCAUCGCUGCUUCCCACCCCACUUGAUCGAUCGUGUACCUUCAUAACCUUUUUGCCUUGUACCCCUUGUCUUCUUUCUAUGUAUCUGUGAGAUAUUACAUUUUCAUACGAUAUAUGCCCGGCAACGGAGAAGGCACAUUAUGCACACUAAAAGAAAAGAAAAAAGAUUAUGUUUCACAUUAUUUCGUUCCAUCCAUGUGUUAGCUUAUUCUACUGUUGUGAUUUAAUAUCUAUUUAAAAGAGCAUCCAUUGGAUUUAUAAUAGCCCAUUUGAUACUUUUGAUUGGAUGGGGAGAAAAAUGACACAUGUAGGAGUAUCUUGGCCUGGUGGUCUAAAUCAAAACUUCCUUAGCCUUGAGGGGGUAGAAAAAGGAGAGAUCAAAUGAAUCCAUACAUUUUAAUUGCAUUUGACCUCCAUCGUACCUGGUCUAUUUGUAUUCGUAUUUUUUCGAAUGACACAACAUGCUGAAACCUUGUAAAAAUGGCACGUUUUACAUAUUUGGGAAAAGAAGAAAAUUCAGCCAAUUGAGCUGUUAAAAAUAUGCCCGUGCCACGAGAACAAAUUAGCGUGGAAAAAAGAAAUCAAAGCUGUCGUUUUGUCAGAAACCUUUCAAGUGGAAAACAUGGCCACCUUUUUCUGCCCACCCCUCCUUUGAAAUUGUAUCGUUCCCUUUCUCCUCAAUUAAAGAUGAUGACACGAGUACAGAAAAAAAGUGGGAAGGGACUAGAAGCAACAACAAAAAAAUUGCUUCGUGUCUCAUUUCAUGGCCGCCAUUUUAUUGAAGAGUAAGGGAAUGUCUUUUUUAGUCCUAAAAAAAAAACGUGUCUGACCUUGUUUGAACUCGUCUGACCUCGCUGUUGGGACUACUUGUUGCUUUAUAUGCAUACAUUUUGUCGCCAUCGUUGUCUCUCACCUGAGAUCCACCACCACCCCCGGGAGACUCGUCUAUUUGAUUGAUUCCUACCUGGCGCCCCCGUUCCCUCCCCCAAGGUCGACACGGACUCUUUAGCUGUCUGCAAUAUAAUACCUACCUGGCCGCCACCAGCGCACAUGUAUGGAGUGUGUUUGAUAAAGUCAUUCAAAAUUCUUUAAUUCCCGUGUAUGACUAUCUAAAAGGGGAAGAAAGAGGAGAGCUUAUCGGUAUAAGUAUGUGGGAGGGUGAGGAAAAGAA